GUUUUGAGUUCGCUGGAAAAUCAUACUGAGACCGAAUACACCACUCUUGCCUUCACUUGCAUCUCUCACAGGAAGCGGGCGCUCGUUCAGUUUUCAACUCCAUUCAGAAUCUUAGAAUGUGAGAAUAACAGUGUAAAAGAACCUGUUGCAAAGAGAGCCAAAGCAAAGCAGCCCACUUGGUCAUGGAAAUGGGGAUUCCUGCCUGCACAAGAACCUGGACCACAGCUAAGACCAUGUGAUGCACACACUCCCAUGAGUUAUUUUAUGUGAU
Molecule: long non-coding RNA, 271 nt
Organism: Sinocyclocheilus rhinocerous
Lineage: Eukaryota; Metazoa; Chordata; Actinopteri; Cypriniformes; Cyprinidae
Exons: 3
Source: RefSeq, a predicted model, not a curated record